This 406-nucleotide ribosomal RNA is filed under the name uncultured bacterium. RNAcentral describes it as "partial 16S ribosomal RNA". It matches the Rfam family "Bacterial small subunit ribosomal RNA", at positions 30 to 526 of the family's 1533-position model. The record is from RNAcentral.
AUUGAACGCUGGCGGCAGGCUUAACACAUGCAAGUAGAGCGAGGGGCGGACGGGUGAGUAAUGUCUGGGAAACUGCCUGAUGGAGGGGGAUAACUACUGGAAACGGUCGCUAAUACCGCAUACCAUCAGAUGUGCCCAGAUGGGAUUAGCUAGUAGGUGGGGUAAUGGCUCACCUAGGCGACGAUCCCUAGCUGGUCUGAGAGGAUGACCAGCCAAACUGGAACUGAGACACGGUCCAGACUCCUACGGAAGGCAGCAGUGGGGAAUAUGGCACAAUGGGGGCAAGCCUGAUGCAGCCAUGCCGCGUGUGUGAAGAAGGCCUUCGGGUUGUAAAGCACUUUCAGCGAGGAGGCGUUACUCGCAGAAGAAGCACCGGCUAACUCCGUGCCAGCAGCCGCGGUAAUAC